Trifolium pratense (red clover) is the source of this 1105-nucleotide long non-coding RNA. RefSeq lists it as uncharacterized. The transcript is spliced from 4 exons. The record is from RefSeq and is a predicted model, not a curated record. Lineage: Eukaryota; Viridiplantae; Streptophyta; Magnoliopsida; Fabales; Fabaceae.
AGACACACUAGAUAUAAAAUCUACAAAGAAAUUUCGAUUAACAUUGAGGUUGGUAGUUUUAGCUAUUGCAGUGGUUUGUGUGAUAUACAUUUGCUUUACUCAGCAUGCACGAUGGAGGAGAGAUCGAUGCUCGAGCUUGCUACACUGCCAUUUUUGAAUGACAGGAUGCCAAAGCUAUUGGCUAACUUAGACCUUUUACACCGUUAGCCUCUAUUACUUUCGUUGUUGGAAUGGGACACUUUUAACAUUGGGAAUCUUGUUGGAGCCACGUAGCAAGUGUUCUGAAUAUUUUGGAUGAAGAGCUGAUCAAGAAUGUUGGAGACUUCAUUUUAAGGUUAGUUUCAAGAAGAACUUGCUUUAAUUUUGGAAUUAUAUCUGGUUGUAUGUUUUGAGCUUGAUCGUGCAACAUUUUGAGGAUAAUUUUAAGAAGCACUAGCAAUGUUUAGAAUAGAAACUUUGUACAAGUCAAACUCAUCACUUUUUUUUCCUACUGCUUUGAUUAUUGAGUGGUUUUCAAAGUAUGCUGGCAUUUGAGAAAACAUUUUUAAUGGUCUCUUCAUUAAGUAUGUGGGGCCUCACAUGGGACCUUUAAACUAUAAACACUGAUAACAAUUGAAAGCACAUUAGUCGUGACUUUGGUGGCAUGGCGGCUAGGAGUACUGAAUUCUCGCCAUUUAAUCUAAUGGUUUUGGCAAUAAGGCAAACUGUCAUCUUUUCAUUAACUAUUUCUGGCCUUAAAUGGGACUUUUAACUAUAAUAUUGGGUAAUAAUUGACAGUCCCAUUUGCCACAAUGUUGGUGCCUUGGGGUAUGUUGUAUUGUGGUGUUCUCCCAUUUGCCACCGAGUUUCGUGCAGUGUAAAAAGUUCUUUGGUCAAGUAGAAAAGUAGAAUAAUUGAUUACACAGCCUGUGUACUAUUUGUUGUGUAACACAUGUUUUAUUCUCCACGUUGUUUCUUUGCAUCUGUCAAACAUACGAGGGAGGCAUUGCAGGUGAGCCGGGUUUCGAGGCUCAUGGUGGGUAUACCUUUUGUGGGUUGGCUGCAAUGAUUCUGAUUGGUGAGGCUAAUCGCUUGGAUCUGCCUCGCUUACUUGACUGGGCUGUAU